This 491-nucleotide ribosomal RNA is filed under the name uncultured bacterium. RNAcentral describes it as "partial 16S ribosomal RNA". It matches the Rfam family "Bacterial small subunit ribosomal RNA", at positions 29 to 507 of the family's 1533-position model. The record is from RNAcentral.
AGUGAACGCUGGCGGUAGGCCUAACACAUGCAAGUCGAACGGCAGCACAGUAAGAGCUUGCUCUUACGGGUGGCGAGUGGCGGACGGGUGAGGAAUACAUCGGAAUCUACUUUUUCGUGGGGGAUAACGUAGGGAAACUUACGCUAAUACCGCAUACGACCUACGGGUGAAAGCAGGGGAUCUUCGGACCUUGCGCGAUUGAAUGAGCCGAUGUCGGAUUAGCUAGUUGGCGGGGUAAAGGCCCACCAAGGCGACGAUCCGUAGCUGGUCUGAGAGGAUGAUCGGCCAAAUUGGACCUGGACCACGGUCCAGACUCCUAGGGGAGGCAGCGGUGGGAAUUUUUGACCAAUGGGGGAAGCCUGAUCCAGCCAUACCGCGUGGGUGAAGAAGGCCUUCGGGUUGUAAAGCCCUUUUGUUGGGAAAGAAAAGCAGCAGGUUAAUACCCCGCUGUUCUGACGGUACCCAAAGAAUAAGCACCGGCUAACUUCGUG